AGAGUUUGAUCAUGGCUCAGGACGAACGCUGGCGGCGUGCUUAACACAUGCAAGUCACGGGGGUCCCGCAAGGGAUAACCGGCGAACGGGUGCGUAACACGUGAACAACCUGCCCUCGUGUGGGGGAUAGCCGGGCUAACGCCCGGGUAAUACCGCAUACGUUCCUCUGGGGGAGUCCUUGGGGGAGGAAAGCUCUGGCGCACGGGGAGGGGUUCGCGGCCUAUCAGCUUGUUGGCGGGGUAACGGCCCACCAAGGCGACGACGGGUAGCUGGUCUGAGAGGAUGGCCAGCCACAUUGGGACUGAGAGACGGCCCAGACUCCUACGGGAGGCAGCAGUGGGGAAUCUUGCGCAAUGGUCGAAAGACUGACGCAGCGACGCCGCGUGUGGGAGGACGCCUUUCGGGGUGUAAACCACUGUUGCCCGGGACGAACACCUCUUUUCGAAGAGGCUGACGGUACCGGGUGAGGAAGCACCGGCUAACUCCGUGCCAGCAGCCGCGGUAAUAC
Molecule: ribosomal RNA, 508 nt
Filed under: uncultured bacterium
Lineage: Bacteria
Description: bacterial SSU rRNA
Rfam family: Bacterial small subunit ribosomal RNA
Source: RNAcentral